CAGUUGCAGCGUUAAAUUUUCUGUCUCUUCACCAGCCCUCUCUUCAGAACCUGGUGCGCCACCAGGAUCAAGCUCUCCUACCCCAGCUUCCUGCGCGCUCCUUGCUACAUCUCCUGCCAGCUCAUCAUCUUCCAUGUCUUCUGAGUUCAAGGCUGCUUGCUUUCCUGCUGAUUCAGUGCCCAGGGCAAGCUGCAGCACAUCGGCGCCCCUGCCUGCCAGUAAAGAGGCAAUGUCCCUGCUGUCACUUGUUGAACUGCCAGGCUGACUGGACACUGAGACAGCAGGCUGACCAUUUGCAUGGACAGAUGCAGAUAGUGCCUCUGCAGUGCCUGUCCUUGGCGCCCUAGCAUGCACGUCUGUAACGGCAUCGCGCGUGGAGCUGACUAAGCAGAGCACAGCCCUAAGUCCCAGCUGCCGGCUGUCACUGGACUGCGCUGCUGCAGUGAGCCUGAUGAGGCUGCCCAGCAGCCUCUGGCUCACCCUGGUGCUCCCUAGCAGCGAGGACCCCGCCAC
This 513-nucleotide long non-coding RNA is filed under the name Coccomyxa subellipsoidea. RNAcentral's name for it is "long non-coding RNA (CSUB_LNC000662)". The record is from RNAcentral. Lineage: Eukaryota; Viridiplantae; Chlorophyta; Trebouxiophyceae; Coccomyxaceae.